Molecule: ribosomal RNA, 599 nt
Filed under: Mycoplana sp.
Lineage: Bacteria; Pseudomonadati; Pseudomonadota; Alphaproteobacteria; Hyphomicrobiales; Rhizobiaceae
Description: bacterial SSU rRNA
Rfam family: Bacterial small subunit ribosomal RNA
Source: RNAcentral
CGCCUUUAGAGCGGCCCGCGUCUGAUUAGCUAGUUGGUGAGGUAAAGGCUCACCAAGGCGACGAUCAGUAGCUGGUCUGAGAGGAUGACCAGCCACAUUGGGACUGAGACACGGCCCAAACUCCUACGGGAGGCAGCAGUGGGGAAUCUUGCGCAAUGGGCGAAAGCCUGACGCAGCCAUGCCGCGUGAAUGAUGAAGGUCUUAGGAUUGUAAAAUUCUUUCACCGGGGACGAUAAUGACGGUACCCGGAGAAGAAGCCCCGGCUAACUUCGUGCCAGCAGCCGCGGUAAUACGAAGGGGGCUAGCGUUGCUCGGAAUUACUGGGCGUAAAGGGAGCGUAGGCGGACAUUUAAGUCAGGGGUGAAAUCCCAGAGCUCAACUCUGGAACUGCCUUUGAUACUGGGUGUCUUGAGUAUGAUAGAGGUAUGUGGAACUCCGAGUGUAGAGGUGAAAUUCGUAGAUAUUCGGAAGAACACCAGUGGCGAAGGCGACAUACUGGAUCAUUACUGACGCUGAGGCUCGAAAGCGUGGGGAGCAAACAGGAUUAGAUACCCUGGUAGUCCACGCCGUAANCNNGAUUGCUAGUUGUUGGGAUGUUU